CCUACGGGAGGCAGCAGUCGAGAAUCAUUCACAAUGGGGGAAACCCUGAUGGUGCGACGCCGCGUGGGGGAAUGAAGGUCUUCGGAUUGUAAACCCCUGUCAUGUGGGAGCAAAUUAAAAAGAUAGUACCACAAGAGGAAGAGACGGCUAACUCUGUGCCAGCAGCCGCGGUAAUACAGAGGUCUCAAGCGUUGUUCGGAAUCACUGGGCGUAAAGCGUGCGUAGGCUGUUUCGUAAGUCGUGUGUGAAAGGCGCGGGCUCAACCCGCGGACGGCACAUGAUACUGCGAGACCAGAGGAAUGGAGGAGGAACCGGAAUUCUCGGUGUAGCAGUGAAAUGCGUAGAUAUCGAGAGGAACACUCGUGGCGAAGGCGGGUUCCUGGACAUUAACUGACGCUGAGGCACGAAGGCCAGGGGAGCGAAAGGGAUUAGAUACCCCAGUAGUC
Molecule: ribosomal RNA, 446 nt
Filed under: uncultured bacterium
Lineage: Bacteria
Description: partial 16S ribosomal RNA
Rfam family: Bacterial small subunit ribosomal RNA
Source: RNAcentral